Molecule: small nucleolar RNA, 106 nt
Organism: Gossypium arboreum
Lineage: Eukaryota; Viridiplantae; Streptophyta; Magnoliopsida; Malvales; Malvaceae
Rfam family: Plant small nucleolar RNA R71
About the family: R71 is a member of the C/D box family of snoRNAs containing the C (UGAUGA) and D (CUGA) box motifs.
Source: Rfam
AACCCAUGGUAGGGCACCUUCUCAAUAAAUCCUUAUAACUCUUCAAUGCAUCAUAUAAUGUCUCUAAAUAGAUCUGUACAAAGAAAGAGAUGUUGUUCCUCAACUU